AAUCCAUAGGUUAAUGAGGCGAACCGGGGGAACUGAAACAUCUAAGUACCCCGAGGAAAAGAAAUCAACCGAGAUUCCCCCAGUAGCGGCGAGCGAACGGGGAGGAGCCCAGAGCCUGAAUCAGCAUGUGUGUUAGUGGAAGCGUCUGGAAAGGCGCGCGAUACAGGGUGACAGCCCCGUACACAAAAGCGCAUGUGCUGUGAGCUCGAUGAGUAGGGCGGGACACGUGGUAUCCUGUCUGAAUAUGGGGGGACCAUCCUCCAAGGCUAAAUACUCCUGACUGACCGAUAGUGAACCAGUACCGUGAGGGAAAGGCGAAAAGAACCCCGGCGAGGGGAGUGAAAAAGAACCUGAAACCGUGUACGUACAAGCAGUGGGAGCACAGGUUUACCUGUGUGACUGCGUACCUUUUGUAUAAUGGGUCAGCGACUUAUAUUCUGUAGCAAGGUUAACCGUAUAGGGGAGC
Molecule: ribosomal RNA, 466 nt
Filed under: Salmonella enterica
Lineage: Bacteria; Pseudomonadati; Pseudomonadota; Gammaproteobacteria; Enterobacterales; Enterobacteriaceae
Also listed under: 5 other names
Description: partial 23S ribosomal RNA
Rfam family: Bacterial large subunit ribosomal RNA
Source: RNAcentral